Prionailurus viverrinus (fishing cat) is the source of this 3491-nucleotide RNA transcript. It is a transcript of the gene named centromere protein L, with no coding region annotated. Lineage: Eukaryota; Metazoa; Chordata; Mammalia; Carnivora; Felidae. The transcript is spliced from 7 exons. The record is from RefSeq and is a predicted model, not a curated record.
GCGAGUCGGGAAAUGAUUUUAAACCGAGAAGGCGGCUGAAGGCUUGGUUGCCGCUUCUCAAAGGCGGGGUUUCAAAGCUAGCUGGGCUCCUGAAGGGCUCAGGUGGAGAGAGGGGACUUAGUCUCGAUCCACACUUUUGGAACCAGAUUUGAAGAAUGAUUCGUGAAGCCGGAAUGGGUGACAGCGUCAUCACAGCAUUUCAUUGACCAUGGAUCCUUAUGAUACACCAGAAUCGACUCCGAGGCACGGUGCAUCCUCAAGGCUUAAAGAUUAUUUUAUAGGUGCCACCCCUUUGUGGAAACGAUUAGAAUCAGUCAGGAAGCAGGCUUCAUUUGUCCCGACUCCACCUCGAAGGAAAAUUCCUCAGUGUUCACAAUUACAGGAAGAUAAUGAUCCUCAAAAGUUUGCAUUUCUUCUGCAUAAACAAUGGACUUUAUAUAGUUUAACUCCCCUAUAUAAAUUCUCCUAUACUAAUCUCAAAGAGUAUUCUAGACUUCUGAGUGCAUUUAUUGCUGCUGAAAAGCAAAAAGGGCUUGCUGUUGAAGUGGGAGAAGACUUCAACAUCAAAGUGACUUUCUCCACUCUCCUAGGAAUGAAAGGAACACAAAGAGACCCUGAAGCAUUUCUUGUCCAGAUUCUGUCAAAAUCUCAAUUACCAUCAGAGAACAGAGGACAAAAAGUGUUGUGGACUGGUUGGUUCUGCUGUGUAUUUGGAGACAGUCUUCUGGAGACUGUUCCAGAAGAUUUCACCUGUGUACCUUUAUUUCUUGCAAAUGGAGCAGAGACGAAUACAGCCAUAGUUGGAACCUGGUUUCAGGAAACUUUUGAUUGUCAUUUCAGUUCCUUAGCAAUCAAUGCGUUUAAUCUUUCCUGGAUGGCUGCUAUGUGGACUGCAUGCAAAAUGGACCAAUAUAUGGCUACUACUGAAUUUCUUUGGUCUGUACCGUGUAGCCCUCAAAGUCUGGACAUUUCUUAUGCCAUACAUCCAGAGGAUGCAAAAGCUUUGUGGGACAGCGUCCACAAAACACCUGGGGAAGUUACUCAGGAGGAAGUUGACUUAUUCAUGGACUGCCUUUAUUCACACUUCCAUAGGCAUUUCAAAAUUCAUUUAUCAGCCACAAGAUUGGUCCGUGUUUCAACAUCUGUAGCUUCAGCACAUACUGAUGGAAAAAUAAAGAUUCUGUGUCAUAAAUACCUCAUUGGAAUCUUGGCAUAUUUGACAGAACUGGCAAUUUUUCAAAUUGAUUGAGGUCUUGUGGGAACUAUAAAUAUAAAUUAUGGAUUAUAUAACUUUUUCCUCACAGAUUAUUUGCCUAAUUUCUAUGCUGAGAGGAACUGCAGGAGAAACAUGCAUCUAUAUCUGCAUCUGUUUUCCUCUCAGUGCCUUUGGAAUUGCCCAGAUAGAAGCCAAAAAGGAUCUAGAACAAAGAAGGUGGUAGCGAAUGAAUCACACCCAGGUGUUCAUAUAAUAGUCACGAUGAUCUGGGAGGCCAGUCUUUAGAAAAUGCUGAGUUGUUAUUUUCUUGGGCCAUCUUAUAUCAAAUUUUUAGGAUUCAAAUGAGAUAUCUCUAAUAUUGAGUGUUUUUGAUUUGGGUCUUUAAAAAGCUUUAAUCCCUUUUAAGCAUUUUAGACUUGGAUUCAGAGAGAAUUUCUGUCUUCUAAAGACAUUUUCCUACUAUCAUUUCACUGUAGAGAGUUGGCAAUCAAAAUCCUCUCCAAAGGAAACUAAAAAUUAAUAUACAUUUAUUAAAGCCACUAAUAUGCUUCUGUUUUUAAUGCUGUUCAAUUCUUAUUGCAAUGUUGAAUUAAAUAUUCACUUUUAAAAUGAAGCAGCGUGUUUAUCAGUGUCUUGGUGGCAGAUCUUUAAUUAAUGUCUCAGCAAUGAGAAGUCAUAGGCUUUUUCUGUAGCACAAAGGUUACAAACCAGCAAUUAUAUAGAACCAUACUUAUAGAAUUGAAAGGGACCUGUGAGCCUCUUUUGAGAGCAGCAGUUAUCUUGUUUAACUUUCAUGUCCCUAAUUUUGCUUUAGCACAGUGCUUGGUAAAUGUCUGCAGGUUAAGUAAAUGUAUUUUAACCAAAUCUUCCAUUUUAUAGAUGAAAACUAUGAGAUUGAACAACUUAGGAGACUUGCCCAAGAUGCUGUGUUUAAAUCUCUUGUUUUAAUUUAUGGAGUAUGGGAACAUUUUGUUUUACUUUAGAAACUCUUUUUUAAAAGUUGUUUGAAAGGAAAUUAAUAGGCUGUCUUUCUAAAAGGUUAACUUUUGGAAUGGAAUAUUAUUUCACAUAUACUAGGAACAGCAGAGAUAGUGGAAAAAGCAUGGGCUUUGGAGUGAGACAGUCAUUAAUUUAACUAAUAUUAAGUUCCUGCUGUGUACUUAGAAUUGUAUUGGGUAACAGGGGUAUAGCAGUGAAGACAAAAAAGAUCCCUGUCAUUUGGAAAUUACAUUCUAGUGGAGGAAGGCAAAAAAUAAAUAAUUUCUGUGGAGAUAAAUACUUAAGGCAGUACAACAUGGAAAGGGGGUCUCUCUGGGUAGGUGACAUUUGAGCUAGGUCCUGAAUGCUGAGGGAACCAGUGAAGCUGUGUGAAGAUCUGUGGGAGGGUUUGCUAGGCAGGUGAAAUGGCGAGAGCAAAGGCUUUGAGAUAGGUAAGAGGUUGGCUUAUUUGAGGAAUAAAGGAAGUCUGUGUGGCUGAAGGAAGUCAGGGUGGAGUAGUAUUAGAUGAGACUGAAGAGAUUGUGCAGCAGAGACUUAUUCCAUGGGUAUGUCUCCCAAUUUUUGACUGAGCAUGUGGUUGUCCAGAAUAAAGAUGGUCUUUUCUGGCCUUUCUCAUAGGUAGGUGUAGUCCUAUGACUAAGUUCUGACCCAUGGCAUAUAAAUGGAAGGAUCAGGAAUCUUCCUUAAAAAACAGCAGACAUAUACCCCUUGGCUUUUUCUUAUUCUGCCAUCUUUGCUGCUUGGAACACAUAUAAUGACUGGAAUUCUAGCCACUCUUUUUGGUCACGGGGAUGCAGGUCAGGUCAUAGGAAUGGUGGAACAUGGCCUGAAACGAGUUUGUGCCUUGAGGACUUCUUGAGGCUGAACCCCAGUGCCACCCUUGGGCAGUCUUCCUAUGGACCUGUGUGUCAGAGAGGAUCCACACAGGAGUGAAAACAUUACCAUGGAGUGAUCUUGAUCUCUAGGAUAUGUUAUGUGAAAGAGCAACUUGUGGACAGUGUGCUGUCUGUUAUGGAUGGAAUGGGUGAAAUAUGAAUAUGUGUGUGUAUUUCCUUAUGUUUCCAAAAACCAAUGGAAGAAUAAACCAACUAAUAAAAAUGGUUACUAACUAGGGGGAAGGAAGGAACUGGGUAAGGGGGACAGAAAUUAAAGUUAAAACUUACCUGAAUGUUCCUUUUUUAUAGUUUGGAACCAUUUAAGUGUUUUUUGUUUUGUUUUGUUUUUUAAUUUUUUUUUUCAACGUUUAUUUAUCUUUGGGACAGAGAGAGGCAGAGCA